UGGGGAGUCGCCAAGCGGUAAGGCACGGGACUUUGGAUCCUGUACCGCAGGUUCGAAUCCUGCCUCCCCAGCCA
RNAcentral lists this transfer RNA (74 nucleotides) under Firmicutes bacterium ADurb.Bin153. RNAcentral describes it as "tRNA-Gln". It matches the Rfam family "tRNA". Rfam says of the family: Transfer RNA (tRNA) molecules are approximately 80 nucleotides in length. Their secondary structure includes four short double-helical elements and three loops (D, anti-codon, and T loops). The record is from RNAcentral. RNAcentral also lists the same sequence under 1 other name. Lineage: Bacteria; Bacillati; Bacillota.